Molecule: long non-coding RNA, 38843 nt
Organism: Gallus gallus (chicken)
Lineage: Eukaryota; Metazoa; Chordata; Aves; Galliformes; Phasianidae
Exons: 5
Source: RefSeq, a predicted model, not a curated record
CCCUGUUUGUCCUCCUCCUAAUUGUUCAUUUGAGAACUCACCUGCCUUUUGUUUACACCUUCCUUUGUGAUUUGUUCUCAGAUUAACAGGGGCAGCUGCACAGUUUUUACGUCUAUUAGUUCUUUGCAGUGGAUCAGGCAAAAUAUUAACCUGUACUGUUCUCCCCCAAAAAAUCAAGUGAACUGCAAUAGACUCUUUCUCUCACAGUUCAGAAAAAAGAAGUAUUUUAAUUUUUGAUAGUCACUGCAGGCAAGAAUUUUUGUGUGUCUAGAUGUGUCUGCUAUAAGUACAGGAUGAGCAUUAGAAUCGGGACAUAUGAAACUAGCUUGCUCUUUCUGCCAAUAUGUAUGAACUUAUAUUUGCAAGAACUUGAGUGUGAAAUUCAAAUCCAAAUUCAGGUCUCAGCCCUGCAAUGCCAUGAGCUCAGUGGGACUGUAUGCAUGCACUCAGUAUUUCCUGAGCAUAAAUCGUUCCAAGGUGUUGUGGUUCUCAGCUCAAUAAUUCUUUGAAUUUAUCUACCAGAUGUAGUUUGGUCCUCCUUAGAUCUGCUAAUCAAGUGGCUUCUUUCUUGAUUUGAGUGAUUUACAAACUUCUGUAAUUUCUCUGUUAUUGAGCUUUCUGCCUGUUUACAUUUUACUGCUGAUUGAUUGGUUGUUGCCAUAUCCUUAAUGGGGAGCCAGCUUUCCUGCAAUUUUCUUUAUUAUUGUCUCUAAUGUGGGACUUUCUUCCUACUAAUACUUUCCAAAAAUGUGUUUUCUUUUUUUGAGCUUCUUGGUAGAUAAGAGAGAGAGAGGAAUGGAUAUGAAAUGCCAUAGAUUAAGUAACCUCCCAUGAGACCUGUUAUUCAUACCAAAUUUCAGUUCUUUUCAUAGAAUAGUUUGGGUUGGAAGGGACCUUUCAGAUCAUCUAGUGCUUUUACUGAUUUUAGGUUGUUAUGUUUCAGUUAUUCAAACCUGAAGCUUUAAGACCUUUACUGAGCAAGAAGGUGAAUGGUCACAAUGACAGCUAAAGCCAAAGAUCUCUGCAAGUGCUUCAGGUUUUAUUUCGGAAUUGGACAAGAUGUUCAGAACAGGAACAUCAAUGGGGAAAGAGUUAAUUUCUGUGCAAUUCUGUAUUUGCCUCACAUUUUGCAAAGGCACACUAGUAUUCAUCAUUCUCCUCACUCUAACAGUCUGACUGAAUGGUUUUCUGGGUUUGUUUACAUUGCUCAUCUUUGCUAGUCUCUGGCCAUUUCAGUUUUUAACAGUCCUCUCAACCUUUCAUUGUUUUCUCUAUUGAUGUGGUGACUCUUUUCACAUCUGGGGUUGCUGAAACAACACAAGGAAUGGGUUCUACUCUCUUUCCAAGCCAAUGUGGCAAUGGUCUCCAUACAUGGCCUUAGUGAAACCUUCUCCACUGUGUGAGCUGCAGCCUGGGCUCAUUCCAGCCUCCAUUCCACUGCAGGUUCUAAUACUGCAUCACUUCUUUGAACAUCUGAAGCUGUUUAUAUUAAUAAAUUGAUUAUAAACACAGUACACUGUUUGAUCCUCCAUGUGCUUUUGAUGCUAAUUCUACUUUAAUUUAUUUAUUUGUUAAUAUAAAUACCUUAAAUAAAUUUAGUUUCCUAUGAUAGCAUGUAUUUGCUUCAGUGGAUUAUGCCCUAUUCUCUAAGUUCAAUAUGAGUUUUCUCUCCUGUCCAGAGUCUGUCAGAGAUGCAGGGCAUUUGAUUUCUUUCUCUUGGGAGGAAGAUUCAAAAUCUACUGUAGGACUGACUUCAAAGAGUUUCUUCCAGUGCAGCCUCUGUGGAAAUUUAGCCUACUUAUGCCAGCAAAUCUACGACCGACUGUGUCACAGUGUCUUAUCUGCUGGAGUCCACAAAGCAUUUGAUAAUCUUCUUCAAAAACAAUGCAUUUAGGUGUUUCAUUUCCAAAGAAGAAGUGAGGAAAACAUAAUUAUUGGAAUCCAGUUAAAAAAUCACCACCAACAAAAAACUACCACCACCACCAAAAAACUACCACCACCACCAAAAAACUACCAACCACCACCAAAACAGGACGUUUCUUCUUUCUUAUUUUUUAUUUUCAAAUCAGCCUAAAAACGUUCUCUCACUGAUGUGGUAGUGUACCUUUGUGCACCAGGUCAAUGUUUCUUCUGGAAAUAUCUGGUAAUUGCUUUUGAGCUGUAAGCUCUCUUGAGCAGCCUAGCUCAGGAGAACUCCUCAAGGGUAUUUCAAUUGCUCAGAUCCACUUAGAUGUGGUAAGUUUCUGUGAAUCUUUGGGCUUUCUUCCAGAAGAAAUGGGUCUGACUGGAAGACUCUCUCUGCUGCAAGAAAAUCUAAGCAGCAUUCUUUGAGAUGCAGGCACUCCUAAAAUGAGAGCAAAGUAAAGCUACCAGUCAUCAGCUAGAAAAAGGACGAAAGGAGAAAAGAAAUGAAAACACAGAGGCUGUAGUUGAUAAUUAAUAUGUAAGUCUCUACAGAGUCCACAUAGCCUUUGUAGUAUCUGGAGAGAAAGAGAUGUCAACAAGAUCAUAAAUAUUCUCCUGUACUUCCAUCAGAAGAUAGUUUAGGCUUCACCUCUUCAAAUAUUUGUUCACAUAUUUAAUCUUACUGACUUUUCAAAUGGUAAAAUUUAACAUGUAGGCCUACCUACGCAAGAACAAGUGCACUUUUUUUUUUUUUUUUUCCAAAGUGCAUGUCAGCCAAACUAAGCUGCAGCAAAAAAAUCUGGGAAUGUUUCCAAACCAUUGUGUGUAGGCUUGCUGGAGGGGUUCCUGAAUUGCAUCUCUCUCAGAGUUAGUUGAUACUCUUGAGUAUCAGAAGUGUGAUGGAUACACAUGGUUUUAUUUGAGUUAUCUCAAGUGCUUUACAGUGAGCCAAAUUUCCAUUUGCCAGUAACUGAGUUUUCAAGGGGGAAAAAAACAUCUUGCCCAGUUGUGACAAAAUAUAGAAAUUACACUUGUCUGAGGGAAAAAUGAAAUCUGUUUUGAUUAAGAAACUAAAGUAUUUUGGAGGGAGGUAGAGCAGAAGCAGGAUGAUCGUUUGAGUGUAAUGUUUAGAUUUUGUGGGUCCACAAAUAUAUUUCUAAUGAAAUAUGUCUGCAUGAAAUUUUCCAUAAUGGCUAUCUGCCUUGGGUGGAAUAUUUCUGGAAAAAACUUUCAAGACAGAAUAGUUAAGCCACUUUUAAAAAACACUUUUAAGAGAAAAGAUAUUUUUCUGAGUAAAAAGCAAAAAACCCUCAACCACUCAAUGAGUUGGUUGGGGAAGUAUUGGGCCUCUGUAGCUCUGAAAUGGCAUCCUGAAGCAUAGUAUGCUUUUUUCUCUUUUAAGGAAUUAUCUUUUUGCCUUCUUUUCCACUGGACAAGUUGGCUGGUGUUAGCCAAUGUGAACAUUUUGAAAAACCUCUUUACAUGUGCUCUACUGAGACUUGUUAAGGUUUGGCAGCUAAAUUCUUAGAAAAUAGGGAAAAGGGACAAAGGAGGAAAAAAAAAAGAAAAAAAAAGAAGGAAAAAAAAAAAGGAGAAAAGGUAGAAAUGGAAGAAAAAGAGAAAAAUUUGGAAAAAAAAAAUCUGUUGAUAGCAGAUGGGCACUAUCUCCAGGGUGCCUUGCUUAAAUCAAGAUUUUCUCAGGUGCAUUUUUCCCAGUUGAAGGGAGCUACCCUGCUGCCUGGAGCCCUUGUGGGAGCAGGCAAGUUCUUCAAGAUGCUUUUCUCUGUGACAGAUAACAAAGAGCGUAAAUGGGAAAACUUAUGGAACUCUUUAUAAAAACUUACAGAACUCUAGAAGCACUAAAACAGCCAAACUGCAGAAGAAAUGCAAAUAGGAAUUCAGUUCAUUGUUUCUCCCUCAACAAGUUCCUACAUGUACCUAUUGCCACAGAAUGGAGACUUCCUUCUUGUGUCCUUGCCCAGGAAAAAAAAAAAAAAGAAAAAAAAAAAGAAAGAAAGAAACUAAAAAUGCUCCUACAUUAAGUUUAGGACAAAAGGAAAUACAUUGUGCAUAGAGAGGCUGGUGCUUGCUUGAAUUCCUGUGCCAAAUGAAGACUGGCAAUUUUUCAAUGAUUUAAAUCAUGGCCAAGAUUUCUCUGUCAGCAAUCAAAUAUUGGCCUUUUAAUCCUUUGGAAAGUUAGUUUUAUUUGCUUUCUCACACCCAGGAGUUUUUAGGACAGCUUUGUGCUGUACCAUCAUCCAUGUUGUGAACCCAUUGGGCCCAUGGUAUAUUGUCCCGCUAUUUACAGCAGUACGAGGAAAAGGGGAAAGAAUACUGUCUUAAGAGGGUGAAGAUGUGUUUCAGACAUUAACUACGCAUGAACAGUUUACAACAAGCAGAAAGCAACAGAGAAUUAAGAAGCAUUUUUCUCCUAAGGAGGUCUUCCUCCCUCACUAAGAUACUGCCUAUUCUCAUGGAGCAUCGCUGCAGGGAGAUGACACCCCAUGUCUUCGUUCAAACAGCAUAGGUGAAUAACAUAGUUUUUUUGUUUAUUGGCUCAAAUCUGAAAAGUGAGUGGGGAGCAUGAGGAGUCGAGUAGAAGAGAUACUAUUCAAUUAAGCUAAAUUCAAAACCUUUUAUUUAAAUUGUGAGAUCUUUAACUUCUUUUUCUUGUUAGCUGGAUAAUUUUAAAACAGAAUAAUGGUGUUUUGAAAGGAAAAUUAAAAAAAUCAUUUAUAAAAUAAAAUUAAAUGAACAUUUCAGCUUUUCCAGACAAGCCUUCCAAUUUAAAAAAUGCCAAAAUGGAAAUGUCAAAAUGGAAAUGUCAAAUUGUCUUUUCUUUUUCUAUAACUUUUUAGUCUCUUCCCCAUCAUGUUGGUGAAUCAUGAAGUUUUUUUCCCUUUAAAUUUCCUGAGACAGAAACAUACCACAAGGACUUGGUCCAGCUAAAAAACUCAGUAGCCAUUUUCUGUGUAGAGGUUGCAAAAUGUGGGGUAUAUUCUUUACAUUUUAGCCUCUGUAUAUCACAGACCAGUGUGGUUUGUAUAUAAUUCAACCUUCUCUUGCCACAAGACACUGAGAAGAGGUUUGACUGGCUGCUCUGACUGCAUGUUUCCUCUGUUAUCACUCCAUUCUUCCCCACAGAGUGUAUGUUUGUUUUGGGGUUAUUUGGUUUAGGGUAUUUGUUUUAUCAUAUCUGGAAACUAUAACCUUUGAAAAACCUCUACCUACAAAAGAUGAGCCCAAUAAUGUAUUUUUAUGCCCAUUCAUUUGCAUCCAUCUUGGGGAAUAUAUAAAAAUAUCUGCUUUCUGCCCACCAGAAAUUCCUGUUCUGUGACAUGCUCUUCUCCAAGAUCCUCUCAGCUUUAUCCAAAUAAGUUUAAUUUCUAGCUACCAUUCUUCUUGUAUAUGGAAAGCCCCUCAAGUGUCUUACCAUGACUACUACUGUUUGCUGUAUCAGUUCCACGCGCUAAUAUGAUUUCCUGCAAGAAGAGAUGAAUAUAUUAGAUCUGCAGUGAAAUCAUAGAGGGGUGGUGGAAUAGAAAGCCUGACCAGUGUUUUUAAAGAGAAUAAUCUCAAUGAAAGAUGCUAAAUUGGUUCCAUGAUAUGAAUGUAAGUUGUACAGUCUUGCUCUAGCACAGGCUCCUGACUUUCUCUUUGGUUUUCUGGCUGGCAACGGAUAUCGUUGCUGCCACCUGUUUGAAGACAAUUGUGCAACUGGGACCGUGGAAUGAUGUCCAGUUGCCUUUUUUAGAAUAUGAAUAGGGCCUUUGAGUUUGGCUGCGCUGAGCAGUUUGAGGCUGAAUCACUCUGUAGACUUGCCAGAGAAAGCGUUUAGCCUAUGGACAUGAGCCAAAGCCCACUGAAUCUCACAGCAAGGCUCUUCUUAGCUUCGGUGGGCUCUGGCUCAAACUCUAUAUGAAUGAGAAUUUCUUCUCGGGAAUUAAAUAAAAUUCCUUAUUUUUAGUUCCUCUUUUUAUUUUCCCAUAGAUUCUCACCUGUACUUUUCCAUUUGAACCACUACCUCUUUGCUCCACUCAUCCCUGCUCUGGAGCUAGAGUGUUAGGAAUGAUGGCAACACAGGUGCUCAGUCAUGAAUAAGGCAGGUACAAGGAGCCGUCUCAGAGCUCAGCUGCCUGAACUGCACUGUACCCACUGUCCACUUUUACUUACUUUUCAUUUCUGAAUGUGUGCUAUUUUGAAAUGCCUCUAAUGCUGUUGGACCCUGAGCUAUUUUGGACAUGAGCAUGUCAUUUCCCCUCUGCUGCAAUCACAGUUGGAUCCUGCAGGCAUUUCCCAUAACAGGCCUCAGUUAUCAACAGCAAGAGUUUUAGUGUAUUUCCCUUUGCAAAGACUUUUCUUGCCAGAUGGGAGUUGUUAGUUGUUUAUAUCAGGCUAUGAGUAAUGCCCUUUCACUAGCACUGUACACAAUGUUUUUUUUUUUUUUUUUUUUGACAUUUAUUCCUUCUGUUGUUAUACAAUGUUAGCUUUGCAAGUUAUAAAGAACAACCUUUUUCCCUCAGGUGUCCUUUUGUGUGCUUUUUGCUCUUUUUUUUUUUUUCUUCAGAUUUUCUCUUCCAAUUUUGAAGGUAAAAUGAAUGUAUAAAAAUAGAAAAAAGAACAACAAACCUUCCAAGUCUCCUACUCACUGCUGUGAAUAGAUCCUAGACAUAGAUUUGUGAACCCAUUUGUGGGCUUCUCAACUUCCAUUUCUUCUUGAACCUCCUUUAUGUCUGUAACAGGACUACUAUUUCAUUCUGUUUUCCUUGACACUGUUGGACACAACCUAAAUACCUAAAUUUCACCAUCUCCAAGCUCUUCCAUUACAUGGUGGGAUGAAUCUUUUCUCUGCAGACCUCACUCUAUUACCAUCCAUACAGUAAGACCUUACAUUAUGGGUCAUUGAGUAUUUUCUGUGAGAGGAGCCCUCAACUCGUGCUUAUUCUGAGUUUUGACUCUAGGUGUUUGGACAGUCAGCCUGAAGUCUUGAUCAAGAAGAUUUUUUUUUGUGAUAACUUUAGCAUCUCUCAUGCUCUUUCACUUCAGAGAUAGAUAGAUAUUAUUUAAUCAUUCCAUCUGCUUGCUUCCCUAAAUGGUUCAGGAUCCCUUUAGAUCUGCUAAGAAGAUGGGUCUGUUUGAGCUAUCAGACUAAGACCUUUUUUAACAUUACAAACCUGAAAAUAUUUUCCAUGCCCCACUGUACUGAAUUAGAACCUCCACGACUUGUUCCUACAUGCUUGAACUAUCUUUUACAGGCUUCUAAGAAGUAGCCUUUAACAACAAUAAAGCCCUUUAACCGUAAAUAUAUGGGUAACAUCUGUACUCUGCACUUUACAGUGGUAGUAAUUUAGGAGAAACUCGGCAGAACUUCUAAUCUGAUCCUAAUUAUAAGGUUGCCCUUUUGCUUUUAGUCACUGCUUUGGAGUGUCCAGCACUUAGGAGUGUGGAAGUUCUUUGUAAGAAUGCACAAGGAAAUAAAUAACUGCUGUUAAAACUCUGUGUUCUCUCUAGCAAUAACUCAACCAUGGAAAAAAAUAAAGGAAGAAUGUACCCUCAGGUAUACUUUCCUUGAUGCAUAUAAAUUCAAGUCCCAUGAAAAUGUUUAUCUGUAAAUAAGCAGCUUGGUUUAGUCUUAUUUCUCAAGAUUAUCUGGUUGUGAGUUAGAGUCUGCACUCGGUAAUAAGUGAAAAACAAGUUUGAUCACUGGAAUUCUGUUAUUUUCAUCUGCAAUAUUAUGCAAGAUCAAGGUAACAAAUUUUGUUGCCAGCUGGAGCUGCAGGGUAACAGGUUGCUGCUGGUUUUCCCUGUAGACAACAGUAAAGAACACAUUUUAUGUCAAAGUAAUUGCACUAACAGGUGCCGUUGAGCAACUGUGUUUUGGUUGCGACACUCUUGUGGCUCAGCACUUACCACAAAUGUUUAUAUAAAAAAAAUUCAGUUCUGCUUUUAAAUUCCUAUUCAAACUGACAAGAAGGAAUAGGGUAAACAAGAGUGAAGCAAUAGCUACAGUUGAAAAACUAGAAAGUCCCUUUCCGACUUCUGGUGGUUGAAUGCUGCUUUCCUAUCAAAAGUCCUUCCUUGGGCAUUUAUCACAGAGACUGUUAGCAUACUUCCAGGGCGGGCAACAUGAAGACCUGUAAGAACUGAGUGAGAUUCUUGCAGUGGGAUACAUGGUGAUGUGAUUAUGUCACAUAUUUGGGGGAUAAUGUAAUUUCAGGCUCCAAAUACAAGACACUGCUGCCCAAGCAGUGGGCUCUCUCCCUCUUGCCUUUGUUGUGUACCCAGCUGCAGAGCAGUGCGUGCCAGAGAUGAAAGCUUCAUGUGAGAUGCCCCAAGGGUGUGUUUACAAUGUUGUAGGUAUAUAUAGUGAUGCAAUGCCACUGAUAUAAAUCUCCUAAAGAUGGACUAAAGAUGGGAAAAGUGGCUUUAGCUAUAUCAGUGUCCCCAUAAAACCAAAUUGUAUCUUAUGCUAACUUGGGUAUCAAUUCCAAAAUUCUUUCUUUCUUUCUUUCUUUCUUUCUUUCUUUCUUUCUUUCUUUCUUUCUUUCUUUCUUUCUUUCUUUCUUUCUUUCUUUCUUUCUUUCUUUCUUUCUUUCUUUCUUUCUUUCUAUCUGUCUAUCUAUCUAUCUAUCUAUCUAUUUUUACGCCAAAUAUUUAUGCCUGCAGUCUGCAGCGUUCUUUGAAUCUAAAAGAAUCAGCUCUUCCUAACAAAAUAUGCUGAGAACAGUCUGGAGGUUGUACCUUCACCUCUCCUUCUAGAUACAUCUCAUGCCCACAGACUCCAUGCCUUUUUGGUUUGCCUUAGCAUUUCUCAUAUAUUCUUUUCUGGUUUUAGUAUGGAUAGAUGAUUUCUGUGAGGACUGCAAUAUUUGACAAGACCCAUUCUUUCUUCAAUCUCUGUUUUCUCAAUCUUUUCCUUCUUGGAGACAUUGUCUUUGCUUACUUGUGGACUUUCUCCAAAUCUUCCAAUUGUUUCCUUUCCUCCACAUAUACCCACCAGGCUUAUUUCUCUGCAAGUUAUUUCUCUGGACUUACAGUCCAGCUACUGUAUCUUAAUUAACUGUUCAUCAUUACUGCAGCAAAUGUAUACAUGCAUGUUCAGUGCCACAGCCAAGGCAAGAGCAUGCACAGCUGUAUAAACAUCGGUGAAUGUGGGCUAAGAUAAUUCACGUUACUUCACAUUCUGUAUGGUUGAAGAGUGUCCGUGGUGAUCAAGGAAGACUGAACCCUAUAUACAACUCAUCCUGUGUUUUGGCAUCCUAAGACUUCCCUGUUCUCAUUCCCUUCACCUCCAAUUCAUUUUGAUUGUGAUUAGUAAUUUUUUUUUUUCUUUUGUACUGGUGUAGUCCCACUGCCAACAGUGCUAUGCCAUAAAUUGCAUGAUCCCACUCCAAGCUCCUUUGCUUCCACUUUUAUGAGAAUGAAAAACACUUCAAUGGUAUGGAGAGAUAUUUACAGUUCAUGCACUCUUUUUACUUUGUUUUCCCAUGGAAGUAUCCCUAAAGUUUUGCUAACAGUUAUUUGCAUGGAUGGAAGGCCUCCAUCUUAGUUUGGAGGCCUCCUCUUAGUUUGGUUUGCUCAGUGCCUUUAAUUGAUGUUACAAAUAGAUUCCCAUUGUUUAGUGAAGAACACAGGGUGUUGGGUUAUUUUUGUUGUUUUUUUUUUUUCCCAUAAAGUCUCUUUCUUACACGAUGCCCAUGCUAUAAGUGUCAGUAGCAUUUGCAUUUUUCACUCUCCAUAUCCCUUUUUUGUAAACAGCCUGAUGAAACCACUGAAGUUGGCACAUGUUUUAACUGAAUAGCCGCAGUGUUGUGCUGCCAUGCAAUGCUUUCCCCAUCCUCUUUCCCCACCCCAGAUGUCAUAUUCCCUUACAUGGACAUGUCCAAAAUGUGGUGAACCACUCCUGGCAGAGAGUUGGGCUACAGAUGGGAAGCAAAUGAGGACAACCUUCUCCAAGGGCAAAGCUGCUGUAGUCAAGGGGCUUUGUCUUUGUGACUCCCCAAAAGCUUUCAGGACAAUUUCAGCCUACAAAGACAUAUUUCGUCUUGGUCAUUUUUUGGGCACUUGAUUACAUAUAGUAAGAUUUUUGUUUUUAUGUGUGAUACAACUUUUUGUUGUUGUUGUUGUUGUUGUUGUUGUUGUUGUUCUAGGAACUCCUCAUUGUCGUCCGUUCCAGAGGGGAAAUCCAAAAAAUUUAGAUUUACUGGCAAUGUUAGAAGACAUUUGGGUAAAACUGGAGUUUAUCUGAAGUGGUUAUCUGAACUAGAUGAGAAGAAAGCAUACAGAUAUGAUAAUAAAAUACCAAAUUUCAUGUAAGGAUUCUGAGGGAUCUGGAUGUGAGUCUCAAACUUUUGAGAUGUGAGACUAUGUGGUUACAAAGUAAAAAAGGAUGGUGCACCUGGGAUCGAUAAAUCUUUUCAAUUUGUUAUUGCAUUUCCCUGAAAUGAGAGGGUUUGUUCUCUGCAGGGUGACAUGGAAGCUGCCAUCUCAUUGUAGAGCACCAUGGGCAGAGACAAACUGCUCUUUUUGAUGAGUUGCUGGCUGUUCUCUCUGCCACUCACUUGGCACGGUAGAAAAAAACCCAGCCUGAUAGAAGGGCAGCAUUUUGUCUAUUAUUUUGUUAAGACAAAUUACCUGCAAACUGUAACUCAGCAGUCUUGCUGAAAAUGCAGGUGAAAAACAGGAGGCGAUUUACUUCAGUGAAGUUGAAGGAGAACUCUGACUUCCUGCAGCAGGAAACCACCUCCUACUGAAGGAAGCUUGGAGGGCAACAUCUAACCCAGAUCAGGACUUCUGGUGGUCAGAAAGUGUUUUUAAGGGGGAAGGAAGGUGAGGGAGGGAGCAAAGCAGGGCUGAGUCUGGCACACAUGGCUGCUUUUUGUGUGGUACCAGCUCUGGGUUUCUCUAGGUGUGAGCAGGGCUGGGUGGGACAUGGGCUACCCGUGCAAGGGGUUACUUGCUCAACUUAUAAAACUGCUUCAGAUGACACCCUGGGCAGCAUGGCACACUGGUGCCACCCCUCCUGCUUCACAGCAUGGCUGCAGGGUUGCUGUGUGCUCCUGAAUGCUCACUUCCCGUGUAAGGCUUUCUAUCACAACCAAAAACUACCAGAAGGGAGAAAAGCUCUUUUCUUUUUGGUUAAAAAAAAAAAAAAAAAAAAAAAAAAAAGAUCUAGGUAUGCAGCAUCUUACUGAUUCUUUCACAAAAAUCCAAUGGAAAACAGCUUCUCUAGCCAAGAGUUUGCCACCUGAGGUGAAAUCCAACUGAAAACUCUUUUAUGGAGAGCAGAGAUCACCUCACCUGUCUUUAACUACUGCUCUUAUUUAUGAUCAGACUGCUCCAUAAAUAAAUAAAUAAAUAAAUAAAUAAAAAGAAGAGCUGCCUGCUGACUGCUGCCUGUGGUGUGGUUUGGCCACAGCUGGGCCACGAGCUGUGCACUGUGCAUCUCCCCACCUGCACCAUGCAGCUUGCUGCGGUGGGCUGCUGUGCUCUGUGGGGACGGAUGCUCUUUGCAUCUCUGGUGGCAGCUGCCAGUUGCUGGGGGGCUGCUGGUUGCUUUCAAAUCCCAUGGAGAGGCCGGUGGUGGUGGUGGAAGGAAGGAGAAGGAGGGGAGGGAGGGUUCAUUCUCAAAAAGGCUGUUACUGUUUAACUCUAUGCAAACUCAGCUGCCACAAGCCCUCGUGCAAGAAGUCUGUUCUUCCUGAAAAUGUGGCAGUCCUUUCACAGCCCCUUCCAAAAUUUACUUGGAUGGAGCUGGACUUGGCCCUUACUCAGGAGGAGUGGUUGAGCAUUUUUUAAACCUGUUGUUCCUUAACUGAAAGGCUUUUUUCCUAACAGAAAAUAAGGGCCUUACACUGCCAACCUUUCUGCCUGCAAACUGGGAUUAUAAAUAGCUUCAGCAUUUUGCUCAUGUCUGCCAACACUGACAGUUAAAAAUUAGCUCCUGAUCUGGAGCUAUUCAGAUAUGUAAUGUUUAUAUAUCUGUUUUCCUAUCAGUGUCCAGCCCCAUGGCUUUCUCACAAACUCUGCUUUCUUUACCACGCAGGGUAGAAAUACACGCUGACCACGCAGACUGCUGGUAAAAUAUCAACUAGAGCAGCAGCAACCAGGUAUCUUGAGAUGAUGCAAUCCAUAGAAAUCACUCUGAGAUGUUAACCUGGGGCUGGGAGAGGAGUGGAAUAGCAGAUAUACUUUUGUGGUACUUAAUAUACAGAUGACAUUUAAGGCUUUCAACUGUUAUUUAAACCUGAUCUGAUUUUCUAAUUUCUAAACCUUAAAUUCCAGCCAAGGACAUCUCUGAGCUAAGAAAAAAACCAAAGAUUUUUACCCAGCAAAAUCUUGGACAGGUGACAAUCACAAAUUUAUUUUCAUACAAUUACAAUGCCAACAGAGCCCCCUUCUCUCCCCUCUUCCAUUCCCUCCUCCCAAGUGUGCAUUUACAGAAAUCAAGGCCAGGUUGUUACAGGGGGCUUGAUUCUGUUCUCAUGGGCAGUGACGACAUGUUAGGAGGAACACUACAAGGUCCUGCGAGUCUGCACCAUGCUGAAAAUUGAAAGCUGUGGACUACGACAUGUGGUGCUGUUACAAAAGCAACAAUGAGGAGUGUGGCAGUCCUGCACAUCUCUGCAGCUGGCCAGCCCUCAUCAGGCAAUGAUGCAGAAGCCAGAAAACAUUCACAUGUUCUCUACUUACACAAGAAUGGCAGUGGUGUUUUGUUCUUUGACUUUCCCUCAGCACUAAUUUGCUUUAACCCUUCGACUUUACUCAUCUCCUUGACAGCCAGUUCAUUUUUUGACAAAUAAAACUUCAGUUUUAUCUGGAUCAAGUCAAUUUUCUGUACCAUUUGCUGGGCUUAAAAUGCUACAGGUCUCUGCUUGAAUCACAAGGAGACAAAAGACAUCUCAUAUUUCAUGCCUGUUUAUGGUAGGACUAAUAUCAAGUUCUUUAGACAGCAAAACACAUUAGCUCAAAACUCAGAGGACUAGAAAAAAUUACUUUGCCUGAUUAGCUUUAAGCUGACAUGUCUGAAAACAUCAAACAAGAAUCAGCCUGCUUUUGAAAUUUGUUUCCAGUUAUAGAAAAUGACCUUCUUAAUUCCCAGCAGCAUCACAUCCUAACUUAAAAGAGCUACCCUUUCCUCUCACAUCCACAAAGGUGCUCCCACAGACUGAUGUGUUUGAUAACACUGAUGGAGAUCCCUGCUGAAAUCCUCCCAUCCAUGUUAAGCGGGAUGGGGAAUCAGAAUGAUCUUAACAACCUUUUUUUGUGUGUGUGUGUGGCAGGCCCUCCCAAUAGAGGCGAGUUAUCUGUGGGGUGAAGAGGACUCCUUCUGUGCAUGAUAUUUUGGCAUUGGAGCGAUCCACAUCCCAAAAUAGAAGAUCUUUCAAACAGUUUUUCAGAUAUUUCAGACAUUUCAAAAUAUUCUGGCAGAGGCUGUAUUUGUUUCCAGAGGAUCACAGAGUCGCUGAAUGGUUAACGCUGGGAGGGAUCUCUGGAUGUCUUAUGAUCCAAUGCCCCUGUUUGAGCAGGGGCUCAUCUCUACGUUACAUGAACCAAAUGAUGUACUGUUAUCAUAGCAGAGAAGUAAUGAGUGGCCUCAUCCCAGACUCAAGUAGAGGCAGAGCACAGGUCUACUGGCCCAGGCAGGUUUGCAACCGAACUGGCAGACAGCAACUUCCAUCAUGGUUUUCUCUUUUUUUGCCAUGUUAUCUUCCUGGAGGACAAUGCACUCACUCCUCUAGAAAGAGAGCUAGAAAGCCAUCUCUGCCAGACCAUGUCUUGGGUUUCAGACAUUGGAAGCCCAAAGGCAAACAUUUUUCCUUUGCAAGGAGUGGACAUUUCUCCACUUGCUUCCACCAGGGACCAGCUGUUAAGCAUGUGUGUGUACCAUGAUACACCUGCUCUUACUGCUUUAUAUAUUUCAAGAACAAUACACUGAAUAAAAGUUAUUAUUAAUAGGUUCUAUUAUUUUUGCUGAGUGUUCAAUGCUUGAGAUUUGUGCUUUAUUUUUGCUGAGUUCUUUCUUGGUUAAACUUUAUUUGGUUGACCGGGGAAUAGGAACCGAUAACCUUCUGCUUGUCAUCCUUCCCCUCUGUUGGGGACAACCUUCUCACACCAAAAGGGAAGAUGGGAAAAGAGAACUGGAAGAUUCCCAUGCUAUUGCAUUGGUAGUGGAUGACUGUGCUUAGAGGUACUUUGAGGUUUCAGGGAUAUCCCUGCCAUACACAUAAUGAGCAGGGGAAAUGGAAUCUCACUGAUAUUAAAACAGAAUUUAGUACCUAACAAUUUUUUGUUUGUUUGUUUGUUUGUUUGUUUGCAUAUUAUCAUUUAAUACCUAAUUCUGCUGUUUGAUAACUCUCUGGAAGUGGAGUUCUCACCUCUCUGUGAGGUUAUAUCUUUUGAUAUAACCAGGCACUGACAAGCACAGCAUGUCAGAGCUGAGAUUUCGACAUACUCAGUGUUGCCUUGUAGAUAUGCACCUGAAUUUCUUUCUCUGUUUUGCUCAUGCAAAGAACUAGAGUAUUGAAUGGGUAGGAGUCCCUAUCUUGGUCUUGCAUGGGCUCUCUGUAGAAGAAGUAGGAGGCAGAGGAAGGUAAGAAGUUAUUCAAGACUAAGCAAAUAUGAAAAAUAAAUCAGUGGGUAUUUCCUUUCAGGGCUGUGAAGCCCAACAGCAUUACUUUAAACUGGAUAACCUUCUCUCCAGCCUUCGCAGCAAUUUCAAACAGGUCACCUUAGCUCAUACUUCAAUAGACCAAAUUCAUAUAAGGAGGCAAAGCAGCAAGGCUCUUCCAACAACAUGAAGUUUACACAGUGUAAAACAAGCAGCCAGUGUUUUUUUUUUUUUUUUUUUUUUUUUUUUUACAGUGACUAUUCUGUGCAUUUGUUUUUUUUUUAAUCCCUGUUGGCAAAAAUAUAAAUGGACAGGAUUUUAGAACCAAGACAUUAAUACGCUUCCCUCAAAUUCUCUACAACCAAUAUUCCGAUAUUUACUCAUUCAGGAUAACCAGGUCAAUUGUUUUUGGCACAUAUCCACAAGCAUCAGUUCCUCUGUCUGGUAAAUGCUGUUUUUGUAGCAGUCGGCAGGGCUGCUGUCUAGCCCACUUCCAAAACAUCCUGGUAGAAAACAAAGAGCAGAUUUAGCAAAACAGUAAAGUUUACUUGGAGCUACAGCCACCAUCUGAGGCAGGUGAUUGUAUGCACAUAAAUGAGUACAGUGCACUGGUAAAAAUAUCUACAAAGGCAAUAAAUAAUACUGGUUUACAAUAGGUGGAAUUCCUUCCAAUGUUACAGUUUAAAUUAAGACUCAUGAUAUAUGGUUUGACUGCAACCUUCAGCACAGAAUUAAAUUUCUUCUGAUGACCUGCUUCAGUUUUGGCCUUAUCCUUGAAAUUUAUCUGUCAAAUCCUAGCUACAGCAUCCAAUAUUUAAUUUGAAGGCAUAUAGCUGCUUUACAUGUUGUUUGUGGUGACAUUUCUGUCCAGCUAUCAGAAAUGCAAUGCCUAGAACAGUCAAUUCACAAUGAAAUAAUAAUGCUAAAUUUGUAAUUAAUUUGCAAUGAUUAUACAGAUAUCAAUAUAAAAAUAGACCAAGAACUCACUAAGCUUAGAAGGAUGUGUGCUUUAAUUUUUAGCCCUGAAAAGUGUGCAGACAUCUUUUGAUAGCAGCCUGUUGUACUUGAGAUGCUCGAGUAAAUGAUUACCAGUAUUUUUCUAAGCCACUUUGUAAUUAUUUUUUUCAUUGAAAGUGUUUAUCAAAUUUUAUUUUAUAGAAUAUGUCAAAGGAUGAAAUAAAUCCAUGUUCCGAGGACUAUAAAAAUGGCUGAUUUUGCAUUUAAAUUUUAGGUAUGGUAUCAAAACCAGUUUGGUAUCAAACUCUGUUUGAGUUCUAUAUUUGCAUUAGUAAUCUAAUGAUCUAAAUAGUGCUUACAUGAUGCUGCACUGGAUCUGGUCAUUACGACUCAGGCAAGAGAUCUUGGAACAUUGCUGCGCCAAAAUCAACUCAGUGUGCAGCAAGGCCAAAUAAGCCAUCAAAAUGUUGGACAUCAUCAGGAAGGAUACUGGAAGCAGAACAGGAGUUAUGAUUUUCUGCUUUUAAAACCUGAUGUGCACCAUCUUAACUACCAUGUGCAGUCCUGGUCUUUAUGUCUCAAGAAAGAUUCAGUGGAGGUGAAGAAGGCAACAGAGAAGGGCAACUAAAAAGAUCAAGGAGAUGGAGCAGCUGCAUAAAUAGAGGAGACGGAAAAUAUUGGGACUGUUCAGUUUGAAAAAGAGAAAGUUGAAGUUUACACUGAAAUGAAGGUGAUAGAUACAUUGAAUGUGGAGUGUGUCUGCACUACCUCAUGAAAUUUGUAAAUCAGUUUAAAAUUAGCAAAAGAAAGCACUUAUUUCUACAUUAGGUGGUAAACUUCUGCAGCUUGCUGCAGGUGGUAUCAACAGAUUGAGAAAGAGAAAAGACACCUAAGACACAUUCAUGGGUACUAGAGGCAAGAGGUAAGGAGGUAAGGAGGUGCCAUCUGACAUCCCUAAGAGGGGGAAAAGACAACAGUGUCCUCACUCCUGUGCACCUCUCAAACAGUAACCAUGUUUUCAGUGCUGAAGGGAGAAUACUGUGUGACACGGAGCAGUGGUCUUAGAGGGACACUCGUUUGCUUUUAUGUUUUAAGGUUGCUGUCUGUGCUGAAGAGAAGUGGUGCUAGUUGCAUAACUUUAAAGCAGAAACUGAUCAAGCUGAUGGUGCAGCAGGAUGGAUUACUGAAAUAGUAGCUGGAAAUUUUCCCUCUAGGAAGGGAGAACAUUCAUGGAAAUGCAGAGCUUUUUACAAACAACAGACUUUCUCCCAUUUUCUCACCGUUGUUUUGAAAUGUUAAGUAGUGACACAUAAACCAUCCAACUGUAAAGAGUGAAAUGUCACAAUACCAUAUCUCCAUAAAAUACAGAUAAAUGUGUAUCCUUUGUGAGUAGAGAAGUUCUUAUGGAGUACUUUCUUUCCUGUUCUUUUUCAUGUACCUGCCUUGGUGCUGGUAAGUGAAGAACACUACGCCUGCAAGCUCGUAUAUUCCAUUUGCCACCAAGUCUACCUGCAAACCUGGUCUAGUGGAUGGUGUCCCUGCCUAUAUCAGGGGAGUUGGAACUGGAUGAUCUUAAAGGUCCCUUCCAACCCAAACCAUUCUAUGUUUCUAUGAUCUCUUGUAAACGCCAUCUAGCUCAUCUCCCUGAAUAUCAAAGCAGUUCUGUGAAAAGCGCUGCCUAUCCUUGGUUAUAAGAGAAGAAAAGCAACCAGAAGAGUGAAGUAGCCCAAUUCAUGAAAACCCAUUGAUGUCUGUUGCUCAAAUGUUUUAUGAUAGCAUUUCCAGACCUUUGUUUUUUGCACUUCAUACUUGUAAGGAUUGGGGCUUGUUGUUUCUGGGCAAAUAAAUUCACAUUAUCCUUUUAUGUGAUUCCUGUAGGCAGUGUGAGAGCUACUAGAGUGUGAAUUGUUUGCUCAUGAUCUUUUUCCAUGCAGAAGGUACACAUGGCCUUUUCCUUUCUUUCCCUCAUGCACACUGUAACACUUGUUAAAUAGAGGUCAAUCAUCCUAGAAUUUUCUCUCAGCUGCCCUAUAAAUAAUAAAUAAUAAACAAAGCUGCGUGAAGCUAGGCAUGAAGGAUACUGGUGGUUUGCCAUUAAUCUUUCAAGCAGUAGCCAGCUAUAUCCUGUCAGUUGUUGUGUGGUUUGCUAGAUAUAUUUUAUGGUUGUCUGAUUGGAUACCUUUUGUGUUCUCAUUGCAUGGGGACCAUUAAAGCUCAUUUCAGGUGAGACGCUUGUGCGUUUGGUGACAAAGACCAGCUGAAGGAUAUACAGUCAGCUACCAGUGCAGCUGACCUGGAUUCUUAACAUUUGUUAUGCUUUUUCAGACUUUUGCCAAAGACCUUAGAUUUUGCAGUUUCCUAUUUCCAGCCUGGUGCCAAGUGCUAUUCAACUGCCUCUCUCAGCAGAAACCCAGAGUUAUGAAUCCGUAUGCCAUUGCUUCCAACUGCAAAUAUCCUAACAUAGUGGUUUCCAGUCUAUGGCGCACUAAUGCAGAAAUCAUACUCUGUGGCCUUUGUCUGUGUGGUAAAGAAAUAUUUGAGAAAUUAAAUUCAAAAGAGAACGGCUCACUGUUCUGAGCCAAAGAUGUUUCAAAAAAAUAAAGACUGGGCCUUCAUAUAUGAAAUUUAUCACACUGUUCAAAUCUUCAGUAGAAAAUACCAGGUGAACUGAAAAUUGAAAAAACCUUACAAACCACAACAGUGUUCUUCCUGCUUGAUGUUUUGGGGUUGUUUUUUUUUGGUGGUUUGGGGUGGCUUUUUUUUUUUUUUAAUUUGUUUUGGUUGCUGACAAUAUGACAGCAUUCUGCUUUUGGUCUAAUAUGUUAGGUGUUGAAAAAUAAAUAGAACUGUUUAUUCUAUAAGCAGUGGGGGUAGAGUCCUGCUGGAGACCCUCAGCAGACCCCAGUGCCCCACUGACUUUCCUGAUUCCACUGUUCCUGAGACAACUUUGCUGCAGCUGAGCUGAACAGGAAAAUAGCAACAGGACUGUAAGGUAUGUCUGUGACAGAGCAGCUGUCAAAGUGCAGCACUACGUGUUGCGGAUUUCUUUGUAGAUCUGCCAAGAGCUGGCAUGCUGAAUAGAUAAAUCUAUGAUUCUUAGAGCAGUGCGUCACAGUGACCUUGGACAAAAGAUCUCUGGGUCAAAGUGUGGCAGCUGCUGCAGCCCUUUGCUUUCCAGGCUCCAGAUCUGUUUUAUUGUAUUUCAUGGGGAUAUUUGUGUAACCCAGAAGCAGUCAUGAAAGAGGCAGGGUUUCUGCUGGUGCAUGAACUGAACUCUUGUUUACCAUUUGGACAAAUCCUACCUUUGGAUAAGCCUUUGGACAUGGUAUCUUAAACUACAGUAGAUCCAGUGAAGGCAGAAAGUGGCCAUCUGGACUCUGCAGGUGAGAUUUAUCCAUGAGCCAAAGCUAACAUAAAUCUCAGACUUAUGCCUUUCUUUGGAAUUUCAGCAAUGCUUCGCAGAGCCAGUUCCAGGCUUCUUGGCAAUGCCGGCCAAAGAAAUAAAUAAUUUAAAAAAUGCCUCCUGCCAGAGAGCAGAGCUAGAGACAAAAUGGACCUGGAACUGAGAAAUGUGGGGAGCUGCUCCCAUUUCUGUCAGAAGGGCAGAGGGUGGCCGUGCCUAUUGCUGCCAGACAUCCUCUCCUGCAUGCUCUCUGGCCUUGCAAAGGGAGCAGAAACAGGAAGCUGGCUCCAGCAAAGCUGCAACUGCCAAGGAUGUUGUGUCACUGCCCGCAGUUAUUGCCAGGCUUUGCUCACAGUCAGCAAGCUGAGCUGCGCCAACUUGGAGACAGUGGCUCUCACAAGGGUGAAUUUCACCCUGCCCAUACACAGGUGCUCUUCCUACAAGGCACACGAAAGGAUUUUGUAGCACUGAGGUUUAGUUUGUGUUUUAAGCUUGGGUUUUGCUGUUGAUGGGAAGCGGCUUUUCCUCUUCAGUUUUGUCAUUCUGUGGAACAACUCAUGGCCACCAUCUGUGUGGGCACAGAUACUAGACCAUGACUUGCAAGAUCUGAGCUCAUUUCCUGCAUCAAGCCACAGAUUUUUUGCAUGACCUAAGGAAGUUACUUCAAGUCAUCCAGGUAUCACUUCUCCACUUAUAUGAAGCUUUCAGCUUCAGUGGAAUUUGUUAUAAUAACCCCACUUAGAUGUGAAGGUCUAACAGCAGAAGCCAUAAUGAAGACACUGUGGUUACCUAGCAGGCUCAGUGCAACCACUGUUGGUUUCACUGGAAGCUGCUAUGAGUUUAAAAAUUGUGUCCCUCCGACUUCUCCCACAUAAAUCCUAGAAGUUUGAGCCAGUGACUACAAUGUGGGCCACUGACAAUUUAUUAAUAAUGUUUCUGUCCCUCCCUGCUAGGAUCAGUGAUUCAAAUGCUGUAAAAUUUCCCAAGGGAGUCGAGCUGUCAGCAAUGAGUGGCAAUUCAUAGAACUAAUACUAAAAUAAAGCUGGUAGGGGUUUAUUAUUGUCAGUGUUAAAGCAGACAAGUGGUAGAAGGUGGGUGCCCGAGGCCAUGUGACACAGAGCAACUGGAAGAAGCGUCUUGGGCAGUGGACCAGACUGGUGGUGCUGUGACCCUCAGAGCUCAUUAGGUAAGAUGUUUGCAGUUUCCCAAGAUAUCUUGUCUCACUAUCACUGUGUUUUCUUUUCCUCUCUGCUGGCUGGAUUGGAUCCUCCCUGCCUUUCCCCUGUUCAAGCUGCAAAAGCCAUAUUCUUUGCACAUGCAGUAUGUGUCUUGGAGGUGACCUGUCCCUCCCUCUGUGCUGCUGGUGACAGGAAAGCCUCUGUCCCUCAGCAGAGCCAUCCCAAACACAUCUUCCUGUUAGCUCCUGCAGCACAGUGCAUGCUUGUGGGCAGGAAGAUCAGGUGUAUGUGUCCAGGGAAGAGAUGAGGAGCUAUGGACAGGGACCUUGGGUGGAAGCUAUCUCCUUGGCUCAGAAAGCCCUGCUCAUUUCUCCAGCUUUGCACCCUUGGUGCUCACUGUACUGAUAUAGGGCAAGAUUCUGCUCAGCUAUACCACUGGCCUUGCUGAAAGGAUGAUAAUGGCUGUCUUAUCCAAGUCCUUGUGCCUACACGUAAAAUGUAGCAGUUUUGGACUACCUUGAUUUUCAUGAGCUGUGUCUACAAACAAACAAACAAAACAAACAAACAAUCAAAAAAAGGCCAAAGGAAACUUAUAUGGGGGCAAAUAUGUUGUCUUCAUGAUACAAAGAAACAUCUCGUUUGCUGACUCAGCUAUUUGUGGUGCAAGGAAAGGGAAAGGAUUCAUAGCUAACAAACGAUUUCUAACAAAAAUCUAAAUUUUGAGGAACUCUUUGCCAGUGCCUUUCAUAUCGGCCCACAAAUUAAGCUGUAGACAUAUCUUUUUUUUAUGAAUAUGAAAAUUUCCUUAUAGAAAGAUUCCCCCUCACUCUGUGAUCGGGUGGGACAGAAUCAGAGCUCUUCGGAAACCUGUUGCAUGCGCAGCCCCCUUGGUGGGACUAUUUAAGCAGUCAGCAUCAUAAAGCAUCCCUAGAAAGGGGAUUGUUGCUGCUAUUUUAAAAAAUGUGUUAUUAUUUAGGAUAUCGCAGUUCCGAUUACUUCCAGUGUGAGCGAUGUUCCAGAGGCCAGACUUUGUGCAUGCCCUUGCACUCACUCUCCAAACACAAUUGUGUUGUUGUCAGAUAUGCAAUAGAGGAGGCACUCAUAUUCAGGAAUUGCAUGUGAAAAAUUUGAAUCAUGUUGGACAUUCAUAGAAAUAACAUAGAAAGAGGAGUUCAUCUUUUAAAACUGGGGGGAAAAAAAAGCCCUUUUUGAGUAGUGUUUUGAAAGCAUCCUCAGAAUGGACAAGGCAACCCUCGCAAAAUGCUGUCUGUAAAACAGCAAGAACAAGUCAGAUAAUAAUCUAUUGCUCUUCUUUAUGAGAGGUAUGCUGGGUAAGUAGAAACAAAAUGAACCACAGAAUUAUGCCUUUAUGGCAUCAGAAAUGUCACCCCUAGGAAAUUAAAAGCCGCGCACAAUUGCCAGCAUUAAUCCCUGCCCUGGAUGCUGCAAAAAGACCCCUGAGUUUCCCUUUGGCAGAACUUCAAUUUCUUGAUGAUUUUUUUGUGUGUGCACAGCAGUGCCCCAGUUGACACAUCUGGGUCUGUGCCCUGUCUGUACCUGCUCAGCAGGAAUGUAAACACGGCACAGACACUGCUGCCUUUAGCUGCAUGAUCUCCUCACAUCGGCCAAGGGGAAAUGAUAGCAGUGUUUCUUCUGUCUCUACACUGUGAGCGCAUGUUUUGUGGCAGAAGAAGGAAAUGGUACUUUUUGCAGGUGAGCUACAGAACAGAGAAUGAAAUCCUCGUGACUCAGAGAAAGGAGAAAUAACAUAAAGGAAAGGUUAAAUCUGCAAAAGUGCCAUUCAUUCACUGUUCAGCUAAAGAGGCAGUAAAGAAAGUCUCUCAGACAGAUAACGUGACUGCAGCCACGUUAUGUUGGCUUUUCUUUGUCUUGCCCGGUUAAAGCUAUCAUGCUACACACAAGGACUGAUAUGGAAAGGUCAGCUACAUUGCUUAGGUGAGAACAGAGCAGCACUAGGGCAUUUCAGCAUGUUGCAGAUGCCUACCAGACAAGGGAACUGCUGAGAGUUCACAAAGAACACAUCUCGUCAAAGCUCAGUAAUGUGUCUGGGAAAUCUUGCUAAAUUUACCAGUGUUUCUUGCUUGAACUGUGUCCUGAUGUUCAAAGGAAGGCUCUGAGUAAGGACAUCUAUUGCCCAUUUCUAAUUCUGGCUACUAAUUUUGAAAAAAAAUCACUUUUCCUCAUGUCUGACUUCUCAGUAAUUUCAGAGUACAUGUGUGAAUAUACAUGUGGUCAUAUAAAAGACUUUUGUAACUGUUGGCAAAGAGCCUUUUUUCCUAUGGAACUUGGGAGAUGCUUGUGGAAGAGCCGGAAACAUAUCUUGUGUUUUACUUCUUUGUCCUUUGAAGACAGGAGUACUGCAGGAAAUACAGCUACCAGUUUCUGCUUCACAGUGCUUUUCUUCACUGUGCCAGUGCUAUGGCAGUAAUUAAAAUGACAGAUAAAUAACAUUCACGUUUGUUCUCCAAGCCCAGCAGUGGGAAAACUCUGCACAGCCCAAGUUAGAGCUGCAUGAACUGCAUUGACCCCUGCCUACACCACUUCAUCUACCUUAUGGGAGGGUUAUGUAGUUGAUUAUUAUUGCUAUUUGGAACACGGGGUUUGUUUAAUGCAGCAUUAGUGAGAGAAAAAAAACAUGUACUUCUCUGGGCAUACUCCUGUUCCUGCAAGGACAAGAGAACUUAGCUUCUUUUCAAUGGGAAUCCUGCUGUUUAUUUAAUAGCAGGUGGGAUUAAACCCUGCAAUAGGUCAAAGUGGGAGGAUCUGGAGUGACAUUCAGGACAUAUGUAAGCAUUUACUGGUGUGGUGUCCAGGUUCUCUAUGCACCACCAUGGUGUUUUGUUUUUGAGAGCGUGGGGAGGAGCAGAUAGCACGUGCAGCCUUGUUUCUUCAGUAUCAACAAGAAGCAACUCAGUUCAUCCUGUCAGAGGGAGAGCAGUUGGCGUAACUUAUCCAGCAGAACAGCUGAUACUGUGAAAUGUAUCUGAGAAUUAGUCAAACAGACCAAGAGUGAGUACAGCCUGCGGUUUAAUGACAGCUGAGCAAAGGUUCUCAUUGUACUAACAACAUCCUGUGUCUCUGUGGCAGUGAUGUGGUAUAUGCACACGUACUCCUUUGCAGUCAAUAACUUCUCAUCAGAUUUUCACACCGGCUGAUUUGGCUGUUAUUUAACAAGUGUGUUUUCCUCUUCCUGCCUUGCGUUUAUUUUUGUUGCUGUUGUUGCAGAAGUAAAAUCAUCUCACAUUUUCUCAGAAAUUCUUCAGAGUGCUGCUAAUGUUUUGCUUGAUGUUUUGCUGAAAGAGGUUUUGCAGGGACUUUUUAAAUGUCACAUCUGUUCUCAAAGUGCAUUUACUUAAUUGGCGUACAGUGCUGGAUGGCAUUCAGUACCUACACACGUACCAGCUAGGUACAAAGCUGCAUGGCUUGUCAGAGCAUACCUGAAAAAGAAACAUGAGCUCAGCUUCCUCUAGAAGUGUGGCAAGCUCUGAUGAUAUGGGAGAUAGCACAGCAGGGUGAUGCUCAUGGCAAGUGAUGGACACAGGUCGUGCUUGGUGGUGCCAAACAGAAGAAGAGGAAAUCUUUUCCAUGAAAAAAAAAAUCCUCUUACAUUUGGUGACCUUUCUGCCUGAAUAAAAACAAAAUCAAUAGUGUUAACAUCUCCUGUAAUGUUUGAUCUUUUCUUAUGUCCUUGAGAUUUCUUACGCAUAGGUAUUACAUUAUGUAAUAUAUUUUAUAUUUAGCAUACAAAUGAUGAAACGCAGCUUUCCCCAAUACCUCUUAUAGUAGAUAUCAACAUGCUUAAUCAGUGAGAUCAUCUAUCAUCCCCAUUUAAAGGGCUGGGAAACAGAGAAAAAUAAAAUGGUGUGCCACACAGGCCAGAAAUGCAGUGGCAAAGCCUGGAAUAAAAUUAGGUCUCAUUAGUUGUAGCCCAGUGGUCUCUUUGCUAGGAAAUGAUGCCUCCUUAUUUUAUAGUACAAAAAUAUAAAAACAUAGAGCAGCAGCACUGAAUAUAUUAGAAAAGGCUUGAAAGAAAGCAGUGGGAAAAUGUAAAAUCACACAAUAAAUUUGGAAACAAAACCUCUUCUGAAAGAAAAGGCAAAACGAUCUGUUCAAGUAAUGACUUUCACAUUCCACUGUGCUUGUUUUUCCGAAAACAAUCCACGAUUCCCAUAGAUUCCUCUAUAUUCUGCAAUCUAGUACUGAUAGAAGUGUGUUUUUUCAUUGGAAAAAUGUUUUUUUUUUUGACCGUUUUCACUUGCUGUAGAGGAAGAGAAGGAAAGUACGUAAAGCCAGCAGGACUGCUGGGAGGCCAGUAGGUUUUUCUUUUUCUAUGUUUUUCUUUUAUUUUGUGAGCUUUACAAAUGUGCUGUAAGCUUAGUUUAUGCUUCAAACGCAUUUUGUCUGGCAAAUCAUAACUGAUGCAAUAUGAUUUGAAAGUCUCCGCCAUCAUGCAGAAAUUACAAUUCUCUCCCCAGGGACCUUCCCCAAAACAUAAAGCAGAGCCUUCCUCCUCAUUAAAACAUUUUAUUGUGUGAAAAAUGACAAUGAGCCGUAAAAUCUGGAGGGAAAUGAUUGCUGCACACUAACAUAUGCUCAACGAUUUCAAUACCAGAGCGUGUGGAGGCUGUCAGUUGCACUUCAAGAUGAGGAAAUGAGCUUCUUGAUCUUGUCCGGAUGGAGGGCAAUUUAGAGGGACAUUGCAAGCAGAGCAGUUGGGCCCUGAAUGCCUUUUUUCAACACAGCAGCAGGAUAUCCAGCAAUCAGCAGUACGACGGCACUAGUUUGUUUUGUUUGCAAAAGCAUGUCUUACUGUCCCUUCGCUAUUCCUGCUUCACUUUUCUUAAAGCCGAUGAGAAUAAUUGUGGCUGUUAUUAUUAUGUACAAAAACGGCACAGAAAGAAGAUAAAGGUUGCCUACUCAGGCACUCAGAAGUUAGAAAAUAAUGGGAUUACUGUUGCCUUGACAACAUUUCCCUCUCCUUCCCCUGCCCCCAGUUUCAUUCCAGGAAACGGCUGAGGCACUUUGCUGAAACUCUGCAAAAUAAUUAAAUAAAAGAUUCAGCCAAAGAGAGACACCUGGCUUGGAAAACUUCCCCCUCCACACAUCUGACAAAACGAUAAACAGAUGAAAAGCAGGAUUUUUUGAACAGAAGAAGAAAGUAAUGCUGAUUGUACUAGUAGCUCCAUCUACAUUUUGUUGUUGUUGUUGUUCUUUUGCUUUAAUUUACACUACAUCCCUGCAGGCUGUUUCUGGAGCAUAUCCCUUUGUUCUGCAAGGCACAGGAUCGUGUACACAGCAGCAGGAGGGGGCUCAGUUUCCUGCUGCUGCUCAUGGGAGGAGGACUUCCCACCCCAGGAAAGAGAAGACCAGGGGAAACUUGAGAAGGCUGCGAUGACACUGGAGGCACAGCUUCAGGGCUUUUAGCACUAUGCGUCACAUUCGUGUGACCCAUGACCAACAUGUAAUGUUGUGCCUGACGCACGUGAAGAGCUCUGCCUCUCUGGAGAGCGUCACAGAGGCUGCAGGGGUCCGGAGCUGGCAGCCCCCUGGGGCAGACGACAGCACCCUGUGACACCUGGUGCGUCAUCUGCAGCUGAGCUCCCAGUAAGGUCAGGCAGGAGACUGAUAAAUGACCCCACCUUGUCAACACCACCGUCAUUAGUGCUGUUAUCACCCUGCGAAUGGGAACGUGAAGGAAUUCAUAUCCCUGCCCUUGCCAAAGCUGGAGAGCAAGUGGGAACAGGAGCUGUGGAGGUGACUGUUCACACCACUUACAUUCUCCUGCAAAGCAGCACAAUGUUUGGUUUGUUAACCAAAGGGAUUUUGUAGCUGAUCAUUAAAUAUUAUUUCAGAUUAAUGGAAUUUAUAGGCUGUCUGAUGACGAUGAGAUUUCUUUCAAAGGAGGGACAAAAGACUUCAGCAUGCACUGGCAUGGCUAGAACACUAACAAAUCACUAGCGUGGUGGAAAGCCCAGAAAUGCUCUCAUGCCCCUUUUCUCAUGCAGCCUGUCUGAACUAACAGCACAUCCAAAAGCGGCAGGUAAUGUAGCCUGCACAGGGGCUGGAAAUGGACCCACCUGACCACGUUGAUUUUGACAAGUAACUUGACAGCACUGUGAGUGGCAGGAGCAGUGUGAUUUAUUCAAAAGUUGACUACUCUGGAAAAAAAAAAAAGAAACACAACUAAAUUUGCAUAUAAUGAGAUGCAUUUUAAAAUCAAAACAAUUAACAGCUAUGUUAUUUUUUCUUCCUUUGCUUUUGCUUGGAGCACGGUUAACCCUGAUGCUUAAAAUUCCCUUUGAAUGCCUUUUGGUGGGAAUCUGAUGGGAUGCAGGGAGCCUGGCAGCCCCUCCAAAUACCUCCAUGUACAACCAGCAGUGUUGGUGGAGUCUCGUCAGCACAUGGGAGACAUAAGGAGCUGGCCAAUCUGGCCCAUCAAGUCCUGGUUUGCAAACUCUGCUCAACUAAGUGAUACCAACAAUUGGAUCCACAGGUCUUGACUGGUCUGUUUGUGAAAAUUAUCUAAAGUGACAAGCAAGGUCUCUCACGACUGACUCAUAUAAGGUGACUGGCUCAUUCUUGUAUGGGGUGUGCUGGGUGUUACAGCUAUUGCUGACCUCAGACUGAGCACUGUGGCCUUUUGGUUCAAAAACAUAUGCUUCAAUGAGAUGCUCUGUGAGUUUGGUAACCUCGGUAUUCUAUGAGAAGUGUUUGAUUUCACAGAGGAAAGCCUAAGGACACUUGAAAUGUCUUGUUUCUGCAACUCUGAACCAGUUUCUUGUCAUCAGGUAACACCUGGUGCUUUUGUCAGUGCUAAGCAGCACGUUACAUUCUAUACUCUAAAAUGUUUGGAUCAGUUAUGCAUGGAUGCAAGAAAAUAAAACCCCGCUGUAUAUCUUUGCUUACUAUCUGUCCUCUGUCCCUGUCAUUCUAACACGCAUUUCAAAAGAAGACAGUGCUCUGCUUUCCAGUCAAAAUAUUAAAGAAUGCUUCUAAAAUACUUUAGUUAUAAAUAUGAAAAUGUUAUGUAAUGUGAGAUAUGCUACAGACUGCAGCUUGCGUAAUACAAAGGAGCAACCUCAGCAGAGAAGUCCAGAUGUACACUGUCUAAAAAUCUGGCCUAUAAAUUGGUGGUUAAUAAACACGGAAUAAUGUAUCAGGUAUUCAGCUAGGAGCACCAGGCUGCUAACAUCUGCCGUGAAGUGAAACUGGUUGUUCUCAACUCAGUACAUACAUGUGCUUUCCUGUACAUUCACACAGAGAGCUGGAUAGUGGCUCUAUAGGUGGCCAAAACAAAAGCUUUCUCCAACAAAGGGGAAUGAUCUGUGAUGGAAUUAUCUCUGGUAUUGGUACUGCAGGUUCCCUCCAGCACUGUGAUAGUUUUGAAAGCAUAAUGCAGACUGGUCUUGAGUAAGGACUAUUUUUUGCAACAGAACAACACAUGAAAAUCUAAAUCAUGCUGUAAAUUUGGGAACAAAAUGCACUUAAUCAGGACAUAUAGCCUGGGAAAUGCUCUCUGUUGUAUUUCACACUGAUGAGAGCUUCUCUUGAUUUGAUUUGUGUGUAGUGGAGCUUCACCAGAAAGAUUACAGGAAGUCUUAGGGCAAAUCUGCAGCUGAGACAUAGGUGUAGAGGGAUUUUCAAUCAGAAUAUCACUGACAAAAAUGUUUUGGCUAAAAUUAUUUUCCCUUACUGUGACUUCUGUCAGGGAAGACAGCAGUGUAGCACUGUCAUGGCACCCAACAGCAAAGAAUGCCACCACAAAGGAAAAUAGUAUUUACACUGAAAGGGAAAAAUUAGUUAAUGACCUGGUUUAAAACAGGAAACAAGGUGUCACGUUCUGUUCUUUGAAAGUAAAAAUGAUAAGAGCUUUGAUGAGUGGACACCAUAAUAAGGGCCUUGGUUUUAUGUCUCAUCCAGGUGCAGCUCCUCACCCUAUACAGCCAUCCAUCCAUUUCAGCACAGAGCAGUCCUUUUUUUCAUCCUGGACCACAGGAAGGGAUGUUGCCAGGCAGGGAACUUGUUCCCUCUGGCACAUGCUGUUAUUACUCCUCCUGGACAGCAUUUUCUUCCUCUCUUUUUCUAUUUCUUUCCUGCUUUUAGGUUCAGCAAUCCCUUUUUUACAUCUAGAUCAAACUGUCUUCCCUGUGAUGCUGUAGGUGGGACUCAGCUCUCACAAGGCCAAAAGAGCUGUGGGUCCCCCACAGGACAGGACCAGAAAGGCAAAGGGGCAAUGUUCCUACCCACUGGUGCUAUUGCUCAGGGAUGUCCCUGGUUUCUGCACUUAUAUCUAAAUCUACACUGGAGGCUCCAAGCCGGAGCCCAGUCACUUCACAUGGAGUUGAAAUCAUUAAGGUGCACAUUUCAGUAUUGUCAGGAUUUGGGAACAAUUACCCAUCUGUUGUUAAAUCUAAUAGCAAUUCUGUUUCACAGUCUGUUGUAAUUUACACCCUGGUUAUUAUCAUAACUGAAUAAAUGACUCUGGCAUGUCUUUGAACUCCCAGCCCUUUGUUGCCACCUCCCAGAGGAGAGGCAGUUACCUGCCAUAUAAUUGCUCUUAAAGUAUCUAAGAGCAAUGUCACACAAACUUAAAUUGCUGCCAAAGGUUUGCUUGUUUGACUUUGUCCGCAAAGGGGUGUGUGUGUUUGUACAGCAAGUCACGCUUGUCAGCUGGGAGGAAGUAAACACCUGCUGGGAAACAGUUGGAGCAGAUUUUAAGCUUCUUUUCCAGUGCUCUCACCAUGUGGCUGCUCCAUAUCCAUGUUGGUGCAAGGUCAGCAAGGCUGGAUCUGAUCACCGCCGUCUGCUGCUCUUUGCAUGGAGAAUAGGGGUACCAGAGGGACUGCUGCCCUCUCCCUGCUGCAGCACGAUGCUGAGUGGUGGGGCAAAGCAAGGUUUUUGGCCCAGCACUGUUCUUCUCCCUGAUGCUGCAUUUCAUAACUUGAAUGUACUCUUCCUAUCUUCUGCUUCAAGAUGAGAAACCCUGUCCAGGUUGGCAGUACUCCUCCUGACCCUUCAGCCAGGGAGAUCAACUUAGGAGGGCAGGUAGCAUCAGUGGGUUGGAUCAUCUGGCAGAUGUGCUCACAUGCAGAGGUUAAAUCCAAACAUGAAAAUUGAGCUUGUAUUUAAAAUCCAGGAUCCUAAAGAAAAUGGAAAUAGAGUGAGCCUUUGAUUCAGUUGUAAGGCUGAACCUCUUGAAAGUUAUUUCAAGGAUUUCCUCUUACAUAGUUACAAUAAAUACCUGCUUUCAAUAUUCACAGUCUGUUUUUGCUGCUGCGUGCAAGGUUUCUAAUCUUCUUUUGUCUUUUCCUGUCAGGAGUCUUCAAGCAUCUUAUUCUGUUCUGACUUGAUUUCUCAGAUGGAAGUAUGCAUCUCAUCCAUGUCUGAGGAGCAAUAUACCACCUCAUCUGUCAACAGCAAGAAAUGACAAUAAUUACAAGAAAGUACAGACUAUAUCACAUGCUUUACUAUAACUUAGGGACAAACUUGAAAUUCGCAGAUAAGUUUGAGCAGAUUCUAACCUUUGUUAUGGGAAGCAAAGAUCUGAAGUCCACCGAGGCCAAUUAGGUGAUUACUGACUUGGAGCACUUUGAAUCAUCUCCACAAGUAGCACCAUUAGCCUGAGUGACCCAAUCAACUCUCCUGUCUGCAUGUGUUCAAAGACCUGUCGGCACUGCUCUGAAGAUGUGAGUUUAACUUUGCUCUCAUUUUCUCCUAGGUGAAGGAGAGAAAAUGCUGUAUUUGUUUUUAGAUGUAGUAUACCUGCAUUAUUACAAAAUACCUCUCUCAUUUCACACAGUUGUGAAGUAAAGGAAGUGGAGCACUGCCAAACACACCAAAGUUUUUUUUCCAUUUAUUGGUAACAUGAGAGAAGAAAUAAUCCAUUUUAUGUUUUACCAUGCUUGCUUAUCAUCUGAUUUAGUGCUCCUCUGUCAUGGCUAAUUACUCUAAGAUAAUUCUAGUUCUAGGUCUCAAAAUAUAUGAAUAAAACAUGUCCAGGUAUACCAUAUAUGUCAGGUGUGUGCAGAUAUCCACACAAUUGAAGACUUUGGAUUAUAAACUAUGGGAAUGGAUAUGACUAUUACAUGAAAAAUCAAUGAAAUGUUAAUCAGAUAAAGCACGACAGCAGGUGGCCAAGAUAUCAGUAGGGCACAUGUCUUAUAGCGUGUAAAUCUCUCUGCAAACAGGAAGGUCACUUUCAUGGCAUCACUAGAUAUUCUAUGUCACCAAAACAGACAAAGUCACCAAAAUGUCACCAUGCAAUGCUCUUUAAGCAAGGGUAGGUGCAUUUAAUACUUAACCCAUCCAGUGGCUGCCUUGUCCUGCUUUUCCUUCUGGAAACACACUUUCUAGUCAUGUUGGUGAAGCUUUUUUCUGCCUCAGGUGGGCAACAGUGAAGUCCUAGAGGGCAAAAAAAUCCACCAACCCUCACAACAGAAUUGAAGCUCCUUCUCAACCCAUUAUAAUGUGUUAAAGAAAUCUUACAGCUUUUAUUUCUCUGUUUUGCUUUGGGGAUAUCAGGAGCAUUAAGAGACACACUCUUGUAUCCUCUCCCAGACCUUCUGGGCUUGCUUGCUGCUUAACUAUGCUUCCAAAAGCUGUCCGUGGUUACAGAAACAAAUGUGCAAACUGCACAUGGCAAAGUUGAAUAAAAUGUGAAGUUUCUUACUUCAGAAGUGGAUGCUGCCUUGACUACUUACUGUAAGUGUUUGGAUGAUGGGACAAACCCAGUGCCUUCAUCAGCAUCUUCUGAAGCCCAGGCCCAGGCUCUGCAGGGGGACAGGCCUCUUUGUCACGAUGCACCUCUUGGUGCCCUCUCAGUACCCUGGGUGUUGACCUUCACACAGACUGAAACAUCUCCUCAGUGAUGUUUUGGAUUUCAGGGCCUUUCCUGAGUGGUAUGUUGCUGAAGAGUGGAGUCUGGAGAGAGACAGGCUUUGUUCUUCUCUUGCAAGCUGAGCUCUCCUCCCAUUUCCCGUCACAGAUCCCUUUGCAGGAUAUGUUUUUAUUGCACCCUCGCUCUCUUCGGUUCAUGCAGAGUUGUUCAUUUCCUGACUGUAUGUGACCAUAUGCGUGGCUGUUGUUAGUGGUGUAAAUCCUCAGCCUUCAGCUGAACCAAAAAACCAAAAAUCAGCUUGUGGUGUUUGAUGUGCCGUGCUAAUGGGACAGGGCUGGUUUGAGACUUCUGAUUUGCACAAAACCAAACACUUCAUCUGUGCCUCUAGGAAAUAACAAUAAUUCAUUAACAUCACAACCCUGUGUUUCUUUUUAAACACAGAUGGUAUUUGAUGCAGAGCUCUAGGUUGGUUCUGCAAAAGUAUUUUUUGUUCCUUUUCUUUAAAAGAUAAUGUGUCUCCUUGAUUCUUUUUUCUACUCAAGCAGCUAAGGUUGCUCUGAUAUCAGCUACAGGGGUGAGACAUAAUGUGGAUGGCUGUGAAAUCCCCCUUGACAGCUACAGCCAAAGUGAAAAUAGCUUACAAACAACAAACAGAAAUCUUUCCUCACAUACAGACUGCUUCUGUUUUGUAAUUGUCACUGAUAAACCCAAACACUUCAAACAGAUAUAGGGCUUUUGAGAGACAGAAAUUCUUCCCUAGAAUCUUUCAAAAUUUGUAAUGUAAAAAGCCAUAUCCCCUGGAGAAUACAACCAAGAGAGCGAUCCGAAAAAGAGUUGCCCUAUCAAAGGUCAAUGAAAUCCAAAAUAACAGUCUGUGGAGGCAGACAGUCUGCAGGGUUUGCCCUCCCCCCUCAUCCCCCGGUCUCCAUUGUUGGCUGGGGAAUGGUGGGGUGUGUUUGUGUGAAAGUGGAGAGAAUGGGGGAAAAACACCAUUGCCAAAGGAGAAGAGCUCUGAGGAAACCUGGCAGGGAUUUUCUUCCCAUUAGUCCUAAUUCCUGUGAUGUAUGGCCAAAGUGGGUACAGAAAACAGAAGGAAACAUGCUGAUAGUAAGGGUAUUUUUCUAGAAGUGCUGGGAAUAGUUAAUGUGUCUUGCUUUUUGUGGUCUCACAUCCUGUUAAGGUUAGUGGAAAUGAAGAAUUGAGAAUGGCAUCCAAGAGGUGGUAAUCUCUGGAGGUGAAUCCUGGUUAUGAGAGGAACAGCCAGGUGGGGGAGGUGUCUCAGUCACUGCAGGAACCUGGACGAGUAAAUUAGUUUAGAUGCCUAACUUUCAAGCAGCUGCAGUUCACUGAGAUGAAUCUUAGUCUUUCUUUCAGCCAAAGGCUAAUACUCCAGCCUACUGAAUUUUGUGCAGGGAGCCCCAGCUACCUCUGAAUUAAGUGAAACCAUGCACAACAAAGCCAAGAUGUCAGUGUUCUCAUUAAGAUUUGGCUAAAAGUGAUGGGACACCUAGGCACUUAACUGCAUCUAUUUUAGCACAAAGCUUUAGAUGUUUUUAUCCUGCUUGAGCAAUCCCUGCAGAAUCAGCUUUUCUGGAACGUGAAACUCUAUUGGACUGUGUAAACAAACCACAUUCAGCUGAAUGCAAAGCCUCACUACACUUUCAAUUUCUGUAAAUUAUGCAAGGAUAUAAAUGAUGAGUACAUCAGUGAGCUAGACCAGAGGCUGAUUCAUUCAUGUAUUGAUUCAUGCAUGGUUUAUCUUCAUGCCUUGCAGAAAAAGAACAAUUAAAAUGGUUACACUAAGCUAUAAAACUUGAAAAUGGUGUUGGAGGGGGAAGCGUGGUCUUCUGCUUGAAGACUGGCAGAUGAAACCAUAGGUUGCGUAUUAACCGUCUUCUAAUUUGCAUCCCUUUAAAUGUUUCUCAGUUGUGUGUAACCAAACUGGGAAAAAUAAUUAGCUUGAAAUCUAGAGGAAGUUCAGUUCAUAUUUUAUUCCUUUAGUGUCAUGUGUUUGUUCAAUACCCUUUCUUCUUCUUGCCUCAAAAAUAAAAAAUAAAAAAGAAGAAAAAAAGAAAAAGCUAUUUAUGUUUUUAAAUCUUUGUGACAGCAGAAAUAAUAAUGGUAAGAAUUAAUUCUUGUGAUUUGGGAGUGUGAUCAAGCAAUAUUUAGUAUAAAUUUGCAUUAGAGGUUGUUGAUGAGCAAGCGAGAAAACCAGGGAAAGAGGACAUUCAAGUUUCCAAAAAGCAAGAACAAAAAAGAAAGGACAAAGAAAAUAAAUCUAUCCCUUGCAAUGGAUGUAGGAAUGACACGAUUUUCUUCAGUGUGUGGGUGAGUAAACCAUAAUUCUGCACUCUCAUUAUCUGUGGUGAUAAAAUGUUGUCAUUAUAGAAAGAGUAAUUAUUAUUAUUAUUAUUUUAUCUUCAGAAGCCUUCAAGAAACAAAAUAUAUCACAUCAACGGACUGUAUAUAACAGGCAAUUUCUGGAAUCACAAACUGUUUAUCUGUAAGCUUAAACAUAAAUAAAGUCAAUUUACACAAAAGCAAGCCAUGUAAUGGAUCUGCUCCUGAUUCUUUCAGCUUCUAUUUUCAUUAGCUAAUGCAGACACUGAGAAAACUGUAUGUUGUUUGUCAUUAAGCAUGCUUUAGUCAUCUGCCACUUUUGUGUUUUUUUGAUUGGCUGCUGCUAAGGGAAAGGAAAGCUCUGUGGUGGUUGUACGUAAGAAAAAUAACUCCAACACUGUGCUGUGGAAAGCUAUGCUUUCAUAUAGCUUCACCUUCACCACCCCCAUGUUAUUAAGUUCUUUUCUUUGGUGGAAUAGUUUUAAGCACAGCAUUAGCAAUACCUACUUUUAUGUACAGAGUUUUGAAUUCAUAGGUUGACUGUCAGCGUAACUCUCUACACCUGGGGUGUUGUGAAGGUAUAGUGGCUGUUCAAAUUGCAUGCAACAGAUUUCACAAAAUUUGACUGCCAAAACUGAUUCAAACACACAAUUUUAUUUUCAAAGGCAACAGACAGGUAAAGCCAGGUUUAAAAUAUUAAUGCUUUCCCCACCCAUCCUUUCUUGUUUGUUUGUUUUAUCUGAUUACAGAUGAGAACACAAGGCUGAACUUGAUUCAGAGUUGCACAGGGAACUCUGACUCCUUGCAGCCCUCAGCAGCAAGGCAGGCUCACAAAUGCCAGCCUUUGUUGACGUUUGAAAUGGAAGCCUCUCAUGCCAGUUGAAGUAUAAAAAAUCUUUCUAAAAAGCCCUAAGGAACUUUUCAAAAUGCUGCCUAUCCACUCUCCAUGCCUGUACAAAUUUUUGAUAGACAAGGAACACAUAACGUCUUUUCACCAAGCUCAGCAAACAGUGUAUAAACAGUCUAUAUGCCAAGAGUUGGUUCUGUUUUAUCACUCUCAGGAAAUGUAAAAAUGACACAGUGGCAGCAUUUCCUCUCUCUGCAGCAUGGCUCUGCAAAAACACUUGAAAACCAUCACUUUGCCUUUUAAUGACAUAAUGCAAAGUAUAUACCUGCCAAAAGAACAGAUAAGGUCAAGUAAGAACAUACCCCUUCCAUGCUUAGCCUUUUCCCUCAACUUUCAGAGGAAAAUCAACUCAAUUCUGUAGUGAACAGUUUUGCAAAUUUCCCAUAUGAGAGAAAAAAAAUAAAAUGCCUAAGAAGCAGAAAAUCGAAGCGUUAAACCUUUGAUCCUGGAUUUGAAGCUAAUCUAUGCAAUUAGCAGUGCUUUUUGUCACAAAAGGAAGAGUCGCAGGAAGAAAGGAUGGCAUAGAGUGCAAAGAAGAAAUCCGGGGAAAAACUGAGAAAAUGAUGCUUCAAUCAUCUUCACAGCCACACAAAUUUUUCCUAAAGAGUAAACAAAGAAGAUGAAAAAAUAUGAGAGAAAGAAGAAGAACAGCAUCAAGCAAACUCCAAACAAUUCUGAACAAUUUCCUCCAGGUUGUCUCACCGUAGGCAAAAUUUAACGCUAUCACAUCAGGGAAGCAAUGUUCAAAGGAGGGGUUCUCAGUGUGCAAGAGCCAUUAUAGGGAUGUGAAUUUGAUUUCCAGCUGUAUACUUUGUUUAUUAACUUCUUCCUAUCUUGACAGGUUGCUUACAUCUCCAGGAGAGUAUUCAGUGGCUAUUUGUUAAUGCAGAUUCCCAUAAGAAUGAAGAACUUCUUAGACCUGGCAGACCCAGUGCAUGGAUUAAGUGCUGUCAGAUAAGGAGGUAGUUUAAUGCAUCUUCUCUGAUGGAGCAGAAACAUCCACAUGAAGUGAAGCACCUUUGUGAUUAUCCAUAGGGGAUGACUCUUUCCACAGGAGUAUCCAUUCAAAUGAUACCUCUUCCAGUCAACAGAUUUCAACACAUGGAAAUCUGAGACCAGCAUUUUUAUAUUUAUGACAUGGAAAAGCUCAUUGGAAGUGGUCCCAACAUCUCCUCAAUGUAGAACGUUGUCUUUUGAAUGCUGGAGAAGUAAAAGUGGAUUCUGUAGAGGCAUUUACCGUUAUUCAUACUUGAGACUGAUGAGGACAGCUAGAAUCUCCACUCUGCAGUACCUCUGACUAAAAAGAGAAAGAUAAACAAGAGAAAAUUGGUGUCCCAUCAAGUUCUGAUGUAUGCAGCAGACCUGAUAAGAGAUGAGAAAUGCCACUCCUGGGAUCUCCAUGGGUUAUUUUUAUGCACAACUGUUCAAUGACAGCCAGUCGCAGAGGCUGGAAAGCAGUUUUAUUGUUCUGGUGGGGCAGCUGCUAUUCCUCAUCCACCAGCAGAGUAGAAAGGGACGCACCUGCCAUUGUGUGACAGAUUGAAAUUAAAUUUCUUGCAAUUUUCAGACUGCGUUGAUGUGAAAAGGGGCCAUCUUCAGAGGAUAAAGAGACCACUGAAAGGAAAGAAAUAGGAAAGAGUAGAUGACCUCCUGGCCUCUGAGGCAGAUGCUGAAGUAAGAAGUAGGGCCACACAAGAGAGCACGCAGGAACUGUAGAGAAUAAAUUGUUCUCCAAGAGUAGCAGCAAAGCAUGAGAUAGCUCAAGUUUGCUGCUUUUGUCUCAUCUCAAGAACCUUUCAUAGAGCUUCAUCCUGGGGGGUGAGAGCAUUCUGCCUCCUGGUGAGGGAGUAGGAUGUCAUCUCCAUGACUUACCAGUAAGGAAAAAUGUCUGCAAUACUUUGCGUUCCCAGAGCCAAUCUCUGGGAACAUUCAGUUUUGCUUUAAAUUCAGUCUCUCUCCUCUGCUCAAGGAACAUAAAGUAAUUAUGAUUUUUAUAUUUCAUGCUCCAGUCUGCGUCUGCAUAGUGGUCCCGGGCUGCCUUCUGUCAUCAAGGUCUUUGGCCUGAAAAGGUCUUUCUGUGAGAAUGGCUGGUCGGCUGGAAGCAUCUAUCAAGUUCUUUUUGUUCACCUUAGACCCUCAUUCUUCCUACUGCUAUAAUUCUUCUUUUUCACUUCUGCCCUUAUCCUUUAACGUAUCAUUUUUGCUCAGAAGAAAGCAUCAAAAUAUCACUCUUAUGUAGACUCAAGACUCAGCAAACAGGAUGGAAAGAAAAAGAACUUAAAUCAUAUUGCUUUUAAAACAAAGCAACAAAACCAACUACACAUAAUAGUUCUCAAGCAUCCUCAUUGUCAGUUUUGGUUCCGCUUUGCUAUCAUGCUUACACCGGCUUUACAGACAGUCACAUAUUUAAGCAGAUUCAUAAAAGAACCACAAAGUCAUACAGGAAAGUAAAUAACUUGAUUAAAAAAGCCUAAGUUCAUAACAGCUAUUAAGAUGUUUAGCAGAAAUGUACCAUGUAGCUUUAUGCUGAAAACCUUGACUUAUUCAUUUAACUGGCUAAAAGAGAAGAAACUGAACUUAUAUAAACUGCUCUGUUUAAAUUUGGAUAUGGUCACGUAAAAUAGUGUGUUUGGAUUCUACUGCAUGUGAUGAGCUAAAAUUAUAUUGCCCAGUGGUUAGCUUGUGUCUUAGCUUGUCUGUCUGUAAACAAGCCUGAGCUUCAUUUUCCUUUAUGAAAUAGAUCAUCACAUCUCAUUAUUAUCUGGAUUUUGAAUAUUGACAAUAAUUUUGUUUUCAGCCAUCAAUAGCUGUAUGUAAUAGCAUGUCUUGUGUGGGUAUGCCAGACAAAUGACAUUACUUAGUAACUUUUUAUGUACUGUCUGGUGUAAUCUAAGAAUAACAGCUUGAGUCUAAGCAGAUUCUGAACAGUGACAUAUUACCCAGAUACAUUGAAUAGGGCUACGUGAAGGACUGAUCCUUCAUUUUAAGUACUAAAUAUGAUUGAGAACAGGCUCUGAAGAGUCACGUGCAGUAUCUGAAGGUGAAUCUUCUCCCUUCAAGGAGAACUUCCUAACUAAUGCAGUAUAGAUGCCCGUGGGGUUGAUUUUUUCUCAUUCUCUCUCAGAUAGAGUAAUUUUUACCACUAAAAAAAAAUGUGUGAAUUCACUGGAAAGCACUGGUGCCUCUUCCCAGAAAAUUAGACAACUCGAUGAGUGACAGGUUACAAAGAGAAUUUAAAUGCUGUGCUACUGCUUUAUAGAUUUUAGGCAAGAUUUUCCCUUGCUCCUUGGGAUGUCUCAUUUCAUUACUGGGUUGCUGAAGAAGUGACAGACCAAGUUGAUUGUACCAGCCCAAAUUAGACAUCCUGCUAUCCUAUAUUGCCAUCAGAGAUCUGCCCAGAGGUAGAGGUGCCUCCGAAGGCUGAUUCCAAGUCGUGAAGUGAGUAGUGCUCACCUACCAAAUUGGGCAACUAACUCCCUCUGUGCACAUACAGCCCAAACUGACUGCCAGACCAUUGGAAACUGCAUAUGCAGUGACACAUCUGUAUGGGUGAUAGAUGGACAGGCCCACAAUGUUUCCCUUGGUCUGUUCUAGAAAUACUGUAAAGGAGCGUUGUUGAAGGACGCUCUUUAGAGAAACAAUGCAGUGGCUGAGGCAUGUGUGGAGGCAGGAGAUCUUGCAGUCUGCUUUUAACCAAGAUUUUUUGGAGGCAGUCAUGUUCUAGUAGAGACCACUUAGUCAUAUGUGUAUCUUAUCUCUUAUAACCCACUUAACAGAGCAUCCCUACAGAACUUACGCUGCUGUACACAAAUCCCAUUCUUUCCUCUCAGCCUCAAAGAUAUCGCCAUUAUUGCUACUUUCCCUACUUCCACCCAGUGAAGAAUCCCCCAAAAGAGCACAUAAAAGUACUCAGAAUAAGAAGGGUUCAGUGACUCUGGGAAACAGCAAGGAUUUCUCCAACAAAUGUCUACAAUCUGUGGACAAUGUGGAGUUGUAGAAUUGAUGCUCAGGAACAGGAGACCAGCACUGAAUAGCAUGCGAACCAUUUGGAGAUGCAGGAUGUAUUGCCAGAGAAGAUAAAGGAUUAACUCAGUGUUAUAUUUUCCCUCUUCUCUAGAAGCAUUCUAAAAAGCCUCAUGGUUCCCUGUCUUGUUAAAGCCAUUCCAGAAUGCAACUCUUGGAUGUCACGGAUACCUGCAUUUCUGUCAAAUCUCUGCCAUUACAGAGUGUUCUGAAGUAAUAUCAUAUGUAAAUGGAUAAUGUCAUUAUGACAAAAUGCUUGAAAUGAGAGUUCUUCUAAGAAUAUGGAAUUGCCACAUAUAUGGCAGACAAAAUUUUUCCUCACUUUGUUCAUGUCCCCCAUGGUUGAGGGAAGGACAGUCAGCAGAUUUACUGAUACAAAUAGGAAUUUUACUUUUGUUUUGCAACUCAUUCUUUGUGCUUAUUCUUUAUGAAUAUGCAGUAGACCCUUGAGUGUGCAAAAGGUGCCUCUGAUAUCUCCAAAAUCAACAUGUAUACAUUGGGCCUUUCCUUCGUGAGUCAUAGUAAACUGCUGGAAGGAAGCUAUCUCAUUCUACAGUUAUAGACAUUCUCCCAUAAUGGAGUUUUCCCCUUUGGAUUACAUUAGAUAUUUCAGUACAUGCAUCAGAUGAGUGAAAGGAAGUUCAUAAGAGUAGCCUGGAAGC